CUAAACAUGCAAGUCGAGCGGUAGAGAGAAGCUUGCUUCUCUUGAGAGCGGCGGACGGGUGAGUAAUGCCUAGGAAUCUGCCUGGUAGUGGGGGAUAACGUUCGGAAACGGACGCUAAUACCGCAUACGUCCUACGGGAGAAAGCAGGGGACCUUCGGGCCUUGCGCUAUCAGAUGAGCCUAGGUCGGAUUAGCUAGUUGGUGAGGUAAUGGCUCACCAAGGCGACGAUCCGUAACUGGUCUGAGAGGAUGAUCAGUCACACUGGAACUGAGACACGGUCCAGACUCCUACGGGAGGCAGCAGUGGGGAAUAUUGGACAAUGGGCGAAAGCCUGAUCCAGCCAUGCCGCGUGUGUGAAGAAGGUCUUCGGAUUGUAAAGCACUUUAAGUUGGGAGGAAGGGUUGUAGAUUAAUACUCUGCAAUUUUGACGUUACCGACAGAAUAAGCACCGGCUAACUCUGUGCCAGCAGCCGCGGUAAUACAGAGGGUGCAAGCGUUAAUCGGAAUUACUGGGCGUAAAGUGCGCGUAGGUGGUUUGUUAAGUUGGAUGUGAAAUCCCCGGGCUCAACCUGGGAACUGCAUUCAAAACUGACUGACUAGAGUAUGGUAGAGGGUGGUGGAAUUUCCUGUGUAGCGGUGAAAUGCGUAGAUAUAGGAAGGAACACCAGUGGCGAAGGCGACCACCUGGACUAAUACUGACACUGAGGUGCGAAAGCGUGGGGAGCAAACC
Molecule: ribosomal RNA, 730 nt
Filed under: uncultured bacterium
Lineage: Bacteria
Description: bacterial SSU rRNA
Rfam family: Bacterial small subunit ribosomal RNA
Source: RNAcentral